RNAcentral lists this small RNA (338 nucleotides) under Arabidopsis thaliana (thale cress). RNAcentral's name for it is "ATSL058910". The record is from RNAcentral. Lineage: Eukaryota; Viridiplantae; Streptophyta; Magnoliopsida; Brassicales; Brassicaceae.
UAUGGUAGAUAAGUAGCUUCUCUCGUCGUUUCAAGAUGCUUAAAUAAGUAGUAUCUUCUGACUUUCUGAUUCCCUCAAUUAACUGAAAGAAUGGUUCAAGGAUUUGUUAGCUCUUAGGAUACAUUAUAUAUAAGCCGUUUGAAAAACAACUAGGUAUGUUCGACCAAGUAGUACGAAAAACUAACUCCUAACUAAACGAGAAAAAAACAUUAAGAGAAUGAGAGUUCCAACAUGAUUUCUAUUAUUCUUGUAUGAAUGAGUUUAUGAGAAUUUGGAAUAAUUCAUGAAUCUACCCAAAUUUUCAUUAUAUAUGGAUUUAUGAAACUUGGUAAUUGAUA